AACUAACGCUGGCGGCGCGUCUUAAACAUGCAAGUCGAACGGAUGUAGCAAUACAUUAGUGGCGAACGGGUGAGUAACACGUAGGUAAUCUACCUCAGAGUCUGGAACAACCUGGUGAAAAUCAGGCUAAUACUGGAUAGUAUCAAGAUGUCGAAUGAUGUUUGAUUAAAGCAUUUAUGCGCUGUGAGAUGAGCCUGCGGCUGAUUAGCUAGUUGGCGGGGUAAAGGCCCACCAAGGCGACGAUCAGUAGCCGGCCUGAGAGGGUGAACGGCCACAUUGGGACUGAGACACGGCCCAGACUCCUACGGGAGGCAGCAGUUAAGAAUCUUGCUUAAUGGGGGAAACCCUGAAGCAGCGACGCCGCGUGAACGAUGAAGGUCUUCGGGUUGUAAAGCUCUUUCGGCCGGGAAAAAUCGCCUCUCCUAAUACGGGGGGUGGAUGAUGGUACCGGGACUAAGAAGCACCGGCUAACUACGUGCCAGCAGCCGCGGUAAGUG
RNAcentral lists this ribosomal RNA (497 nucleotides) under uncultured bacterium. RNAcentral's name for it is "partial 16S ribosomal RNA". It matches the Rfam family "Bacterial small subunit ribosomal RNA", at positions 29 to 526 of the family's 1533-position model. The record is from RNAcentral.